UCCUGAAUUAUUUAUUUACACAAUGAUGUCCCCCUGGAUUGAGUGGAAUGAUGUCAUAUGUAUAUGCUCCGUCCCAAUUCAGUCUCAAUGCAUAUCUCUUUUGCUCAAAGAGUUUUAUUUUUUUUUCUUUUUAACAGACAUGGUAAUGGAAGGGUAUAAGGAACGAAAUAAGGUUACUCAUUAUUUGACAUAUAGUGUUAAACCCUUUGAAGUAGAAAUUUUUGCUUUGACCUUUAGUGAAGAACAGCCCGCCUAAAUGAGACAGGUGUUUUUAUUGUGACAUCUCAGACUUCAUAAUGACACAGCUGCUGUCGAGCCUGACUCAUCUCUGCACAGCACAGGUGAGCUUCAACUUAAACAUACUAAUGAGUUCAUGCAAUAAUCAUUGUCUGCUCACAGCGAAGACAGUGCUGCUGUUUUGUGAUUAUCUAAGUGAGAGAAAGAAGUGGUGUCAGAGAUCCUGCUGUGCAGGAAUUCAGAUGAAACCAUCAUUUCCUUUCGUAUGUGUUACCAAUAAAGAUGCUGCAGCACUGGAGAAGGCAUCAAAUUGAGCCAAGGGGAAGGCUGGCCCAAACAAGUGUCUUGGAAACCGAAAAGUGAAGAGAUGUGUUUGUUCCUGCUGCCUUCAGGAGAGGAGAUGUUUGUGAGAGAUGCACACAAAUAACACCGUGAUAAACACUCUUUCUUGAUUUUCCCUCUGGAUAAAAACUAUACAGAAAAGCUAA
Pseudopipra pipra is the source of this 725-nucleotide long non-coding RNA. RefSeq lists it as uncharacterized. The record is from RefSeq and is a predicted model, not a curated record. The transcript has 2 exons. Lineage: Eukaryota; Metazoa; Chordata; Aves; Passeriformes; Pipridae.